Long non-coding RNA from Episyrphus balteatus (marmalade hoverfly), 2802 nucleotides. RefSeq lists it as uncharacterized. NCBI's taxonomy places the organism in Eukaryota, Metazoa, Arthropoda, Insecta, Diptera, Syrphidae. The transcript has 3 exons. The record is from RefSeq and is a predicted model, not a curated record.
UAAAAUUCAAAAUUCGAAAUUCAAUAAAAAAAGAUAUAUAUAUAUGUAAUAAAAAUAUAAAAAAAAGAUUGUAGCUUGGCAGUUUAGUGGUUUCCACCUUUAAUAAUAUAUAUAUGGACCUUUGUGUCCCAAAAAAGAUUGUUUUAGUUCACUCACCAGAUUCUCGAUCCUUCGAUGUUCUGCCGGCAGCACCUCGACGAAUCCCUUUUGUGCCUUUGUGCACAAUAUUCACUUUUGGGGAUUUAAUAUAUUAUUAAUUAUUAAAAAUGAAAAAUCGCACUUUUUCCAAACUUCUUAAAUCUUCUUUUGUAAAAGAAAUAAAAAAAACUAAAUUUAACUUAAAAUUAACAAAAAAAAACAAUUUGGAGAACUUAAUUUUAACACUUAUUGUUUAAAAUCUACGUUAAAAUCUACGUUUUCUUCAAAAAAAAAUUCUUUUUAAAUUCACUUUCUUUUGUUCAAAAAAAAAAAAAAAAAUUCACUUCGCUGACGCUGGUUGAAUUCCUUGUUCUUCUUCUUUCUAAAGCCCUCCUUUGUAUAGAUGUAUAUAUACUUUCUAUAUAUAUACACUAUCUUGAGUGGAGUCUUCUUCAAGCUUCUCGUACUUUCGACCUUUGUUCUCUACGAACAAAGCAAAGUUUCCUUAGGAAUUGAUUCCAGCUGCUUCUGGUACAAUAUAUGUAUAUAUGUACAUAUAAAAAAAACCCCAGCAGAGGCCUAGAUUGAUUCGAUCUUCGACCUCUGCUUCGUAAAAUCUUUGAUUUUGUACUCUAGAUUUUCUAGAAGUUCCCCAAAAAAAGGUUCCUUUUGUCUCCUCACAAAUUCUGUAUACGUAUGUAUAUAUAUGUCUAUGCACCUUUUUAAUAAUAUUUCCACAAAAAAAAUUAUUUGAAUAAAUAUGCAAUCUAAUUUGCUAUCUGGUUUGCACAAACAAUUUUGCAAAAAAAUUGAUUUAAAUUUCGAUUUAAAUUUUUAUUUAAAUUUCGAUUUAAAAAAAAAAAACUGUGAUCACUGCUACGGUUGCUCUAUUUGAAUUCAAAUUCAAUUUUGCAAUGAUCAUGAAAUCUCGUUCUGUUUUAUUGUUUCGUUAGCUUUCUGUAAUUAUGUACAUAGUUACCUCUAUAUCUGAGUGAGAUAACUAACUUGCAACAAAAUAGUGGGUGGGGAAAUAUCUCCCAUCCUUAUCAAUUUUUUUUCUAACCCCCCUUGUCCAUAACCCAAGUUUACACAUACAUGUAAACACAUAAACAAUAACACUAUCUUUUGAUUCCCUUUAAUUAAACUCAUAGUAAUCCCAAUCCCAAUUAGUCGUACUAACAACAUUUGAACUAACCUUAAACCUAAAACAUUGAAAUUCCCUUAGAAAUCCAAAAAAAAACAUAAACACGAACAAACCUAACUGAGCGAAAAUUGUGGAACGCAUUUUUAUUUCCCCCUUUUCCUUUAAAAAUGAGUGUGACAGAUAUAUAAUUAUCUGAGAAAAACGAACCGCGACAUGAUGAUUGAUUUGUGAAUUGUCAAAAUAAACCACAAAUCAAAUCCUCAUGGCGGUCGUCUUUACCAAAGGUACUAGAAAAUGUUUUGCUGAUAUUACCAGGAGGCAUGAAGAUAAAAUCAUCACUAAAACUACAAUCAACGUGACUACAACAGAAAACAAAAAAAUCAUCGCCCAAAAAGAAAAGUAAACCACAACACAGAACAAUCAAGAUUGAGGCAAUUCCACCCUCAACCCCUCACGGAGCUAUAAGUAUCCGAGGAAGAUCUCCAUUAAUCCAGGUUUUAUUAUUAAUUUUUCGUAUUUAUGUGUUGUGUUGUUUUCGUUACCUCUCUAACUACUAAGGCCCAUUUCACACAUCGCCGAGAACCGGAUAAACGGCCCGGAUACACGGUUGCUAGGAUACACAAUCUUAUGGGCGCCUUCACACGUAGAAACCGAAACCGAAACCGUGUACACGGUUCGGGUGCCAGAGUGAAAUCAACUGCGCUUACUACAACCAGAGACAGAAGAAAUAUAUAUUUCUCUUGUCUUUGCUUCAACUUAGCUGCCGUUCUGGUUUCCUUCUCAUGUGCUGUAGUUGUAGUCAAGAAAGGGGUUGUUUUGUUUUUUUAUACUUUGAUGUCAGUUUGUAUUGUGAGGGAAGAUAGGGUUGUUUUGUGUUUUUAUAUUUUGAUGUCAGUUCGUAUUGUGUGGAGUUGCAGGUAAGAUAGGGGUUGUUUUUUUUUUCUGUUUAGGUAUAAAAUGAUCUAUUUUUUCUAUUAGAUAAAAUGGACAUUGACAUUGAUCACUUAAUUACUCUAGUCGAAUCUAGACCCAUACUUUGGGACAAAACUUUAAAAGAGUAUAAAGACCGCAAUGGAACAAGGAAUGCAUGGGAGGAGGUGUUUUCAGAAAUAAACUCUGAAUAUGAAAGAAUGGAAGGAAAAGAAAAAAAUGAGUAUGGUAAGUUUUUUUUUUUUUUUUUGUUUUUGAAGCAUACAAACAACUGAAUUAAAUGUUGUAAGUAUGCACGUUAGGGUGGAGUGAUUUUAUUUUUGUUUUUUAUUUUCGAAUUGGCAUAGUAAUAAAAAGUUGCGCUAUUUAUAAACGAACAAAACUGUAUACUUAAAAUUUUUAUGAAAUCGCUCCACCUUAGAGCACGUUCAAUCUCAAUUUAUAAAAGUGCAGUCUACAAACGUGGUAGUACCUAUCAAUAUUAAGAAUAUAAAAUUUAUGAUUAAAAAUUUUAUAAAUUGAGAUAUUAAAAAAUUGAAUUUCAGCUUUUAUCAUUUGAUAAAUGCAUUAUUGUACGUAUUGUUUUUUUU